Molecule: ribosomal RNA, 2902 nt
Filed under: Klebsiella pneumoniae
Lineage: Bacteria; Pseudomonadati; Pseudomonadota; Gammaproteobacteria; Enterobacterales; Enterobacteriaceae
Description: 23S ribosomal RNA
Rfam family: Bacterial large subunit ribosomal RNA
Source: RNAcentral
GGUUAAGCGACUAAGCGUACACGGUGGAUGCCCUGGCAGUCAGAGGCGAUGAAGGACGUGCUAAUCUGCGAAAAGCGUCGGUAAGGUGAUAUGAACCGUUAUAGCCGGCGAUGUCCGAAUGGGGAAACCCAGUGCAAUUCGUUGCACUAUCGUUAACUGAAUACAUAGGUUAACGAGGCGAACCGGGGGAACUGAAACAUCUAAGUACCCCGAGGAAAAGAAAUCAACCGAGAUUCCCCCAGUAGCGGCGAGCGAACGGGGAGCAGCCCAGAGUCUGAAUCAGCUUGUGUGUUAGUGGAACGGUCUGGAAAGUCCGACGGUACAGGGUGAUAGUCCCGUACACCAAAAUGCACAGGCUGUGAACUCGAAGAGUAGGGCGGGACACGUGGUAUCCUGUCUGAAUAUGGGGGGACCAUCCUCCAAGGCUAAAUACUCCUGACUGACCGAUAGUGAACCAGUACCGUGAGGGAAAGGCGAAAAGAACCCCGGCGAGGGGAGUGAAAAAGAACCUGAAACCGUGUACGUACAAGCAGUGGGAGCACCUUCGGGUGUGACUGCGUACCUUUUGUAUAAUGGGUCAGCGACUUAUAUUCUGUAGCAAGGUUAACCGUAUAGGGGAGCCGCAGGGAAACCGAGUCUUAACUGGGCGUUAAGUUGCAGGGUAUAGACCCGAAACCCGGUGAUCUAGCCAUGGGCAGGUUGAAGGUUGGGUAACACUAACUGGAGGACCGAACCGACUAAUGUUGAAAAAUUAGCGGAUGACUUGUGGCUGGGGGUGAAAGGCCAAUCAAACCGGGAGAUAGCUGGUUCUCCCCGAAAGCUAUUUAGGUAGCGCCUCGUGAAUUCAUCUUCGGGGGUAGAGCACUGUUUCGGCUAGGGGGUCAUCCCGACUUACCAACCCGAUGCAAACUACGAAUACCGAAGAAUGUUAUCACGGGAGACACACGGCGGGUGCUAACGUCCGUCGUGAAGAGGGAAACAACCCAGACCGCCAGCUAAGGUCCCAAAGUCAUGGUUAAGUGGGAAACGAUGUGGGAAGGCACAGACAGCCAGGAUGUUGGCUUAGAAGCAGCCAUCAUUUAAAGAAAGCGUAAUAGCUCACUGGUCGAGUCGGCCUGCGCGGAAGAUGUAACGGGGCUAAACCAUGCACCGAAGCUGCGGCAGCGACACUAUGUGUUGUUGGGUAGGGGAGCGUUCUGUAAGCCUGCGAAGGUGUGCUGUGAGGCAUGCUGGAGGUAUCAGAAGUGCGAAUGCUGACAUAAGUAACGAUAAAGCGGGUGAAAAGCCCGCUCGCCGGAAGACCAAGGGUUCCUGUCCAACGUUAAUCGGGGCAGGGUGAGUCGACCCCUAAGGCGAGGCCGAAAGGCGUAGUCGAUGGGAAACAGGUUAAUAUUCCUGUACUUGGUGUUACUGCGAAGGGGGGACGGAGAAGGCUAUGUUAGCCGGGCGACGGUUGUCCCGGUUUAAGCAUGUAGGCUGGUUAUCCAGGCAAAUCCGGAUAAUCAAGGCUGAGGUGUGAUGACGAGGCACUACGGUGCUGAAGUAACAAAUGCCCUGCUUCCAGGAAAAGCCUCUAAGCAUCAGGUAACAUCAAAUCGUACCCCAAACCGACACAGGUGGUCAGGUAGAGAAUACCAAGGCGCUUGAGAGAACUCGGGUGAAGGAACUAGGCAAAAUGGUGCCGUAACUUCGGGAGAAGGCACGCUGGUGUGUAGGUGAAGUCCCUGCGGAUGGAGCUGAGACCAGUCGAAGAUACCAGCUGGCUGCAACUGUUUAUUAAAAACACAGCACUGUGCAAACACGAAAGUGGACGUAUACGGUGUGACGCCUGCCCGGUGCCGGAAGGUUAAUUGAUGGGGUUAUCCGUAAGGAGAAGCUCUUGAUCGAAGCCCCGGUAAACGGCGGCCGUAACUAUAACGGUCCUAAGGUAGCGAAAUUCCUUGUCGGGUAAGUUCCGACCUGCACGAAUGGCGUAAUGAUGGCCAGGCUGUCUCCACCCGAGACUCAGUGAAAUUGAACUCGCUGUGAAGAUGCAGUGUACCCGCGGCAAGACGGAAAGACCCCGUGAACCUUUACUAUAGCUUGACACUGAACAUUGAGCCUUGAUGUGUAGGAUAGGUGGGAGGCUUUGAAGCGUGGACGCCAGUCUGCGUGGAGCCAACCUUGAAAUACCACCCUUUAAUGUUUGAUGUUCUAACGUUGGCCCCUUACCGGGGUUGCGGACAGUGUCUGGUGGGUAGUUUGACUGGGGCGGUCUCCUCCCAAAGCGUAACGGAGGAGCACGAAGGUUAGCUAAUCCUGGUCGGACAUCAGGAGGUUAGUGCAAUGGCAUAAGCUAGCUUGACUGCGAGCGUGACGGCGCGAGCAGGUGCGAAAGCAGGUCAUAGUGAUCCGGUGGUUCUGAAUGGAAGGGCCAUCGCUCAACGGAUAAAAGGUACUCCGGGGAUAACAGGCUGAUACCGCCCAAGAGUUCAUAUCGACGGCGGUGUUUGGCACCUCGAUGUCGGCUCAUCACAUCCUGGGGCUGAAGUAGGUCCCAAGGGUAUGGCUGUUCGCCAUUUAAAGUGGUACGCGAGCUGGGUUUAGAACGUCGUGAGACAGUUCGGUCCCUAUCUGCCGUGGGCGCUGGAGAAUUGAGGGGGGCUGCUCCUAGUACGAGAGGACCGGAGUGGACGCAUCACUGGUGUUCGGGUUGUCAUGCCAAUGGCACUGCCCGGUAGCUAAAUGCGGAAGAGAUAAGUGCUGAAAGCAUCUAAGCACGAAACUUGCCCCGAGAUGAGUUCUCCCUGAGACUUUAAGUCUCCUGAAGGAACGUUAAAGACGAUGACGUUGAUAGGCCGGGUGUGUAAGCGCAGCGAUGCGUUGAGCUAACCGGUACUAAUGAACCGUGAGGCUUAACCUU